Molecule: ribosomal RNA, 377 nt
Filed under: uncultured bacterium
Lineage: Bacteria
Description: bacterial SSU rRNA
Rfam family: Bacterial small subunit ribosomal RNA
Source: RNAcentral
AUACGUAGGUGGCGAGCGUUGUCCGGAAUUACUGGGCGUAAAGGGCGUGUAGGCGGACGCUUAAGUCAGAUGUGAAAGCCACGGGCUUAACUUGGGGAUUGCAUUUGAUACUGGGUGUCUUGAGGACAGGAGAGGAAAGCGGAAUUCCUAGUGUAGCGGUGAAAUGCGUAGAUAUUAGGAGGAACACCAGUGGCGAAGGCGGCUUUCUGGCCUGUAACUGACGCUGAGGCGCGAAAACGUGGGGAGCGAACGGGAUUAGAUACCCCGGUAGUCCACGCCGUAAACGAUGGGUACUAGGUGUAGGAGGUAUCGACCCCUUCUGUGCCGUAGUUAACGCAAUAAGUACCCCGCCUGGGGAGUACGGCCGCAAGGUUGAA